Molecule: ribosomal RNA, 254 nt
Filed under: uncultured Stenotrophomonas sp.
Lineage: Bacteria; Pseudomonadati; Pseudomonadota; Gammaproteobacteria; Lysobacterales; Lysobacteraceae
Description: partial 16S ribosomal RNA
Rfam family: Bacterial small subunit ribosomal RNA
Source: RNAcentral
CGGACGGGUGAGGAAUACAUCGGAAUCUACUCUGUCGUGGGGGAUAACGUAGGGAAACUUACGCUAAUACCGCAUACGACCUACGGGUGAAAGCAGGGGAUCUUCGGACCUUGCGCUAUCAGAUGAGCCUAGGUCGGAUUAGCUAGUUGGUGAGGUAAUGGCUCACCAAGGCGACGAUCCGUAACUGGUCUGAGAGGAUGAUCAGUCACACUGGAACUGAGACACGGUCCAGACUCCUACGGGAGGCAGCAGAC